UACGUAGGCAGCGAGCGUUGUUCGGAGUUACUGGGCGUAAAGCGCGUGUAGGCGGCUAUGUAAGUCGGGCGUGAAAUCCCACGGCUCAACCGUGGAAGUGCACCCGAAACUGCGUAGCUAGAGUCCUGGAGAGGAAGGUGGAAUGCUUGGUGUAGAGGUGAAAUUCGUAGAUAUCAAGCGGAACACCGGUGGCGAAGGCGGCCUUCUGGACAGUGACUGACGCUGAGACGCGAAAGCGUGGGGAGCAAACAGG
This 253-nucleotide ribosomal RNA is filed under the name uncultured bacterium. Its description in RNAcentral is "partial 16S ribosomal RNA". It matches the Rfam family "Bacterial small subunit ribosomal RNA", at positions 524 to 776 of the family's 1533-position model. The record is from RNAcentral.